GAUGAAUGCUGGCGGCGUGCCUAAUACAUGCAAGUCGAGCGAACAGAUAAGGAGCUUGCUCCUUUGACGUUAGCGGCGGACGGGUGAGUAACACGUGGGUAACCUACCUAUAAGACUGUGAUAACUUCGGGAAACCGGAGCUAAUACCGGAUAACAUUUGGAACCGCAUGGUUCUAAAGUGAAAGAUGGUUUUGCUAUCACUUAUAGAUGGACCCGCGCCGUAUUAGCUAGUUGGUAAGGUAACGGCUUACCAAGGCGACGAUACGUAGCCGACCUGAGAGGGUGAUCGGCCACACUGGAACUGAGACACGGUCCAGACUCCUACGGGAGGCAGCAGUAGGGAAUCUUCCGCAAUGGGCGAAAGCCUGACGGAGCAACGCCGAGUGAGUGAUGAAGGGUUUCGGCUCGUAAAACGCUGUUAUUAGGGAAGAACAAAUGUGUAAGUAACUGUGCACGUCUUGACGGUACCUAAUCAGAAAGCCACGGCUAACUACGUG
This 497-nucleotide ribosomal RNA is filed under the name uncultured bacterium. Its description in RNAcentral is "partial 16S ribosomal RNA". It matches the Rfam family "Bacterial small subunit ribosomal RNA", at positions 28 to 507 of the family's 1533-position model. The record is from RNAcentral.